UCGAUUUUACUAUUCCAUGUUCUGCUAGCGCCCCUUUUUCGUUACUUUAAUUUAACGUAAUUUAAAUUUUUUUUAUUUUACCAAAUAUGAUAUUUUUUGAUCGAGAAAAAAUUAGAAAUGCAAUGUAUUUAUCUAUAUAUCUCGUUCUGGUUGCAAAGAGCAUCACGUAUUGAAAACUCCUCUCAAAAUCUUUACCCGCCACAUUGAAUGACUGAUAAGCAAUUGGAAAAAAAUCAAACAGGUAGAUUCUGAGAUAUCGCUGUACACAGAUUUGGGGGACAUCGGACGGACGGACACACAUUUUUUCAAGUAUGGUUAUUUUGACUCCUGGGACCUUAAAACGUCUAGAAAUGAUGAAAUUUCAACUUUUUUUUUUUUUUUCUUGGAGGAUGACAAUACUUCCUCUCUACCCUAUGGGAGCGAGAAAGUAAAAAUAUUCCGAGUAUGGGGAACAAUGGAAUGACGAAACAAUAAAAAACUACUCUGUCAGAAUCAGUGAACAGCGCAGCUAUGAUUUCUUCUGAAUUCAAUCUUUUCCUCUUUUUUUCACUUUUAAAAAAAAAAAAAAAAACAUCAUGAAGGUCAUAGACACAGCCUCUCGGCGGCAAAUAUAAGAGAAUCCGAGGAAUUGGGGAGCAGUUGAAAACCUUCCAGGCUUCAUUUUCAAAAAUGGCUGAUUUUUACCAUGUAUAAUUUUAAUCCAUGUUCAAUUUUGUUUCCAUGCUUUUCCUUUUUUUUCACACGUGACUCUUAGCGAGUUGAUGACGCAUUUCACCGUCGGUUAUAAAUGAUGCUAUGGGGCCUUUGGGGUUCAGAGUUCGUCAGUGAACUUUCACAGCGGUCGCAGAAAUCAAAGAGAGAGUUAUUCGUUACCCAUCCCGUGAUGAAAUUAACUAUCGCCGCGUUUUGCUUGGUUCUACUGGCCGUAGAUGUUGAAUUGCGAGUUGAUGACGCAUUUCACCGUCGGUUAUAAAUGAUGCUAUGGGGCCUUUGGGGUUCAGAGUUCGACAGUGAACUUUCACAGCGGUCGGAGAAAUCAAAGAGAGAGUUAUUCGUUACCCAUCCCGAGAUGAAAUUAAUUAUCGCCGCGUUUUGUUUGGUUCUCCUGGCCGUAGAUGUUGAAUUGCGAGGGAGUCAGAAACAGCGGAAACCGGAAGAGGAAUCGGAAGUGAAUCCGACUUUAGUCCGCAGAAGGACAGGCAAACCGGCUAAAGGUCCGUCAUCAGCGCCAACCCCACCGCGAUACCGUGUGAAUCCAGUGCGCGGAAAUCAAGCGCACAAGGAUGUUCGAGGCGACACAGCUAAACCACCCGAAGGCUUCGUGAUGCCCAAGUUAGAAAUCCCGGCACAACUGAAAGAUUACGAUGCCGACAUAAUCAAGAAAGCUCUGGAAGCUUAUAGUCAAAUCAAACCGGAGAUCCUUGAAAGAAUGCUCUUCAGAACCGACAUGUUUUACGGCCCAUUUUCAUCUGCGGUCCAGACUUUGACAACAAAAUUCAAAAUAGAUGACAAGCAAGCACGAAAUAUUGUUCGCCACCAAAUUGGAGAUCAACUAUCGCAGCUGGAGAUACAGAUGACCAUGCCAAUCGUUGAAAACAUUCUUACCAGAGCAAUGCUUGCGAAGGGUUUCAAUAACGCCUACUUGGAAAAACACAAAUUCAUCAAUAAAUCAUAAAGUCUAUACAGUUACGAAAUAAGAAUAGUAAGGAUUUUUGACCAAAAAAAUUAAAAAUACUCCUGGAUGAUUUCAUGAUACCAGGAAUAGUCGUGUAGCCGGUAGGAAUGAGUAACUUACGACACAAAAAUCGAAAAUUGAGGCAAUAUAUCGGAAAAAAGCUUGUUAUCAAUUGUUAUACCAUCAACGAAAUAUGUUAACUUGUUUGAAAUUUAAAUUAUGGCCUUUGUGAUGUUAAUUUUGUGACCCUGACGAUGAAGCGUUCGCUUCGGAAAGCUUCGGUCCAUAUAAGUUUUGUUAAUAAAAUGUAAGUUUUUAAAGAAAUUUUACAUUAUUUCUAGCACUAGGCUACACUCCAAAUUCCAGUAUAUUAAGUGCUACUACCUUCAGACAUUGCUUUGCAAUGUUCGCUGAUUUUGAUAUCGGAAUGUAUGAUGUGCCUAAGUUUAUCCACGCAAAACUAUAUAAAAAAUUAUCAUUAUUUAAAAAACUUGCGUCUACAAAGACGGAGAAUGUUCGAUCGGUUACACGUUGCCAAUUCCGAUCUUAAAG
Molecule: long non-coding RNA, 2227 nt
Filed under: Bemisia tabaci
Lineage: Eukaryota; Metazoa; Arthropoda; Insecta; Hemiptera; Aleyrodidae
Description: lncRNA ENSSSA1UGG002619
Source: RNAcentral